This 265-nucleotide ribosomal RNA is filed under the name uncultured bacterium. Its description in RNAcentral is "partial 16S ribosomal RNA". It matches the Rfam family "Bacterial small subunit ribosomal RNA", at positions 793 to 1055 of the family's 1533-position model. The record is from RNAcentral.
GUCCACGCCGUAAACGAUGAUAACUAGCUGUCGGGGCUCUUAGAGCUUCGGUGGCGCAGCUAACGCAUUAAGUUAUCCGCCUGGGGAGUACGGCCGCAAGGUUAAAACUCAAAGGAAUUGACGGGGACCCGCACAAGCGGUGGAUGAUGUGGAUUAAUUCGAUGCAACGCGAAAAACCUUACCUACCCUUGACAUGUACGGAAGACCGAAGAGAUUUGGUUGUGCUCGAAAGAGAACCGUAACACAGGUGCUGCAUGGCUGUCGU